CUCUUGGUGCUCUGGGAGAUCAAAAUCCCCUUGAAGAUCCGCAUUUUCCUUUGGCAAUGGGUCCGCGGUCGCCUACCCUCGGGUACGGAGGUCCGCAAACGUAAUGGCCCGGGGGAUGGUCUAUGCCCCAUUUGUUUGGUACCGGAAGACUGCAAUCACAUCUUUUUUCGGUGCCCGGUGGCACAAUUCCUUUGGAGUUGCCUCCGGGAGGUGGUCGGUGGCAACUGGUGCCAUAACAACCUCCCGGACUUGUUUGGGGAGGUCCUUAGGCUCCCCGGCUCUAGCCGUCCACCCAUGUGGGUGGUGUUGGGCACCCUAGCAUGGACCCUCUGGUGUAAUCGUAAUAAGCUAGUCAUAGAACGCGUGAUCCCUUGGCGUGUGACUGAUGCUAUCUACAAAUUGUGUGGCCUUCUACAGCUUUGGAAACCGCUUAGCAAGCGGAGAGACCGGGACGCCAUCGACAUCAUCAUAGCGGGUCUUCAUUCUUCGACAUCGGCUUUUGCGCCGCCUCCACCACCUCCUCCGCCACCUCCUGAGCCGGAUUAG
This 546-nucleotide ribosomal RNA is filed under the name Triticum aestivum (bread wheat). RNAcentral's name for it is "partial small subunit ribosomal RNA". The record is from RNAcentral. Lineage: Eukaryota; Viridiplantae; Streptophyta; Magnoliopsida; Poales; Poaceae.